CGACAUGUUAGAGCUGGGUGUACUAAACAAGCCCCAAGGAGUAACACCAAGAAUAGGCUUGUAUGACUAUGAGUCGAUGAAAAAGAUGCUCGAGCAAAUCGCGGUUAACUUCCCCAGUGGAGAAGUCACUUUCAACAGUGGCAAGGUUACGAGCGGUACGUCUGCGGGAGGGGGGCUCGAGGCACAUGGAAAUGAUCCGGCAAAAGAAAAAAUCGCUAAGCCAGCUAUAGCCCCAAAAAGAGCAAGCACUCCAUGCUCACCAAUGCUACGAUCUACUUACACCAAGAAUGGCCCGCAGGAAUUUCCAAAUUAUAUAUGCUCGCGGUACCCUAGCAUAUCAGCACAGAAGCUUGCGGCCUAG
This 361-nucleotide ribosomal RNA is filed under the name Triticum aestivum (bread wheat). Its description in RNAcentral is "partial small subunit ribosomal RNA". The record is from RNAcentral. Lineage: Eukaryota; Viridiplantae; Streptophyta; Magnoliopsida; Poales; Poaceae.